AAACUCAAAAAAUUAUUUUUAAAAAUUCCAAAUAGUAACUAGUUCAUCUCCCCUUAUUGUACUUUGCGCCUCUUAAAUAUUUUUAAAAAUUCCAAAAAUAAAAAAUUACAUUUUAUCUUUGGUGACUAAAAAUUUAGUCGCUAAAAAUCUAUUUUCAGCGACUAAACAAAUUUGUCGCCAAAUAAUUAGUUUUGACUAAAAUUAUUUAGUCACCGAUUAAAAAAUAAAAAAUUAAUUUUUAUCUUUUUAGUUGCAAAAAUCUAUUUUUAGUGACUAAAUAAAAUUUUAGUCGCCAAAUAGUUAGUUUUGACUAUUAAAAUUAUUUAGUCGCCGAUGAAAAAUAAAAAAUUAAUUUUUAUCUUUGGCCAUUAAAAAUUUAGUCGCCAAAAAUCUAUGUUCAGCGACUAAAAUUUAGUUGGCAAAUGUGUUCAAAAUUUUAGUGGGAAAUUUAGGCUGUGUUUGGAAGGGUUUUCAAACUAUAAUUCUACCCACACAUUCUAAUACCAUGUUUGGAUAAGGUUUUCAAAUUAUAUUUCCACAACAAACAGAAAAUUCUGCAGAAAACUGUGUUAGGCGGGAUUUUCAAUUUUUUUUUUAAAUUUGGCUUAACCGGUCGUCCGGUCAACCGGAACAUGGCAAAUUUAUUUAUUUAUUUAUUUAUUUAUUGCAAUUGGCACUUUUUUUUUAUUAUUAUUUUUUAUAUGUUUAAUAAAACAAUGUUUUUGGAUUUUUUUAAAAAAAUUUAUAAGCUUUUAAUAGAUUUUUGAGUUAUGUGUUUGGUUAUGAGUUGUAAGUUUUUGUAUUAGAUAUCAUAUGCCACACCAAAAAUUUCAACUCAAUUUAAUACUAUUUUCAAAACUCAUUCACCAAAUAAAUUUUUAACACUUAAAUCAUAAUUUCAAAACUCACAAACUUAAAAUACAACUCUAUUCUCAAAUCAUAUUUAAAAAACUCUACCAAAUCAUAUUCUCAAAUCACACGGUUCUCUCUCUCUCUCUCUCUCUCUCUCUCUCUCACACACACACACACACACAGAGAAUCAGUCACCCCGCCCCUCAUCUCAGCAUCGCACACGACCAGAGUGUCCGUCAAUCUUCCACCGUCGAAGAUAGCCACCGCAGCUCACCAUUGCCUCGCCUUCCAUCGACAUUCAGGUUAUUCUGUCCUUUUCCGAUUGAAGUUUUUGACUGAUUUCGAUACAUGUAGAUUUAGUUAUGUAUAUAUAUAUAUCGUAAUCUUCGUUCAAUUUUCUGUAGAUUUCUUCGACAUUGUGCUUGCUUUCUUUACCGAUUAAAGUUUUGACUGAUUUCGAUUCAUAUAGUUAUGUAUCUAUCGUAUUUAAGUUUUGAUUUUGACCGAUCCAUCCACAAAAUUGUAUUGUCCAUCCAACCCGUCAAUAUAUCUGAACAUCACGAAGGUACUCUCUCUCUCUCUCUCUCCCCUAGAUAAUUCCUCCUUAGAGUUGCAGAUCUUGAUUCGCCAUUGAAGAACUCUCUCUCGGAUGCCCCUCUCUCUUUGUUUCUUCUCUUCCUUCUUUUCUUCUUAUUUUACGAUCUUAAUCUGCUCCUAGGGUUUGGAUUAAGGCCAUAGAGUUUGGAUCGAUGGAUUCGUUAUACAUCCCCUGCGUUGAGCAUGCGAAGCAAUGGCUUUCCAAUUCCAAUCAUCCAAUCAUCCAAUCGAUUCCGAUCCGAAUGUUACUUAUGCUCGUGCACGGCUCCAUGGUGCCGGUCCAAGUGGAAGGUUCGGAUGAGCAAUACCAGCAGUCAUUAUUGAGUAGAUUCCUGCAAAGUGGAAGGUUGGUCCAAGACAAGAGACCCUCCUCUUCUGUGGCAGCAAGUGAAUUGGGUUUUUAAAGGCAAAGACACACACAGUGGUUUAAGAUUGAUGAUGUUGGCAUGGAUACAGUGAUGUUUUUGGGACAGAUUGAUGAUGUUUGCAUCAGCACAAUUUACAUUAUAUUUUUGUUUAUGGAAAACAUGUACACCUGAUAUGUUUUGUUAUUAAGAUUUUGUUUAAUUUGGAUUUUAAUUGUUGGUUUGGAUAGUAUAUAUAUUUGUUGGAUUAUACUAUGUUUAUGGAUUCUUAUUUUCUUUGAUAUGUACAAUUAAUAGUUAAGCUUUGUAUAUUGUUGGAUAUUGAAUGCUA
This is a non-coding RNA of Camellia sinensis, 2145 nucleotides long. The record is from RefSeq and is a predicted model, not a curated record. NCBI's taxonomy places the organism in Eukaryota, Viridiplantae, Streptophyta, Magnoliopsida, Ericales, Theaceae.